GGAGGGGUGGCAGAGUGGUUGAACGCGCUACCUUGGAAAGGUAGUAUAUGCGAAAGCGUAUCGGGAGUUCGAAUCUCCCUCCCUCCG
This 87-nucleotide transfer RNA is filed under the name Candidatus Kaiserbacteria bacterium RIFCSPHIGHO2_12_45_16. Its description in RNAcentral is "tRNA-Ser". It matches the Rfam family "tRNA". Rfam says of the family: Transfer RNA (tRNA) molecules are approximately 80 nucleotides in length. Their secondary structure includes four short double-helical elements and three loops (D, anti-codon, and T loops). RNAcentral also lists the same sequence under 3 other names. The record is from RNAcentral. Lineage: Bacteria; Candidatus Kaiseribacteriota.